AGUGAACGCUGGCGGUAGGCCUAACACAUGCAAGUCGAACGGCAGCACAGUAAGAGCUUGCUCUUACGGGUGGCGAGUGGCGGACGGGUGAGGAAUACAUCGGAAUCUACUUUUUCGUGGGGGAUAACGUAGGGAAACUUACGCUAAUACCGCAUACGACCUACGGGUGAAAGCAGGGGAUCUUCGGACCUUGCGCGAUUGAAUGAGCCGAUGUCGGAUUAGCUAGUUGGCGGGGUAAAGGCCCACCAAGGCGACGAUCCGUAGCUGGUCUGAGAGGAUGAACAGCCAAAAUGGAACUGAGACAAGGGCCAGAAUCCUAAGGGAGGCAGCAGUGGGGAAUAUUGGACAAUGGGCGGAAGCCUGAUCCAGCCAUAACGCGUGGGUGAAGAAGGCCUUCGGGUUGUAAAGCCCUUUUGUUGGGAAAGAAAAGCAGCAGGUUAAUACCCCGCUGUUCUGACGGUACCCAAAGAAUAAGCACCGGCUAACUUCGUG
This 492-nucleotide ribosomal RNA is filed under the name uncultured bacterium. RNAcentral describes it as "partial 16S ribosomal RNA". It matches the Rfam family "Bacterial small subunit ribosomal RNA", at positions 29 to 507 of the family's 1533-position model. The record is from RNAcentral.